UAGGAUCUAUAUGAGGGACAUUUUUGUUUUCACAACACUAUGAAAAAAAUGUAUCUAGACUAUACUUCUUUCACCAUAUCAAGGAUUUUCAAGUUUGUUCACUAUUGGCUAUUGCUCCAAAGUGGGAAGUAUCGAGGAUAACUGUGAUCGAUUAUAAUCUCUUAUUGGUUUUAGAUUGUUUUGGAGGAUAACGAACCAAUUUAUGGUGCAAACGUGGAAGUGGUGAAAAGGUCACGGAGAGAUGCAUCGUAACGAAUUUAGAAUUCGUUUAAAGACUUCUCAUUGGUGUCGACUAAAGUUAUAAUCGAUUUAUGAAAUUGCAAAUAGCAACGAUAAAUCUCUCGGUUAUUAUUGGUAUCCUACCAAAUUUACAUCAGUCAUCUCAUAUUCUCAUAUUUAACAAAAAGUUAUCAAUUAACUCGAAACAAAGAUAUUAUUAUUUGUUAUAUAAAUUAAAAGAAAAUCAUAUUAUAGCUAUUGACCUUCUUAUUACAGAACUUCUCCAGAUUUGGUCCCUCCAUGUUAUUCUGAGUCAGCAUAUCAUAGGCAGACUGAACUGUAAACUGACCAUUGAAGGUCUCUCCCCACGAUGUAUGGUCUUGAGCUCCAGAGAAGCUAUCUAUUGCAACAGCUCCCAACCUCAACCGUAUCUUCUCGUAAAUCCAUGGUAUAAGACGACCAAGAGACCAGUCCACCUCAUCGUUCCAUAAAUCACUGGCAUGUUCAUCAAUGUGGUCCUUCGGUACCGCCCCUUGCAUCAAAUCCAAGAAAUACUUGUUUGUCAGCCACAUGUCCUUCAAAAAAUGAACCUCUCUCCCCUCACCCAAGACACAAUUCUGUCUCGGCAAGACCACCUCCCUAUGCCAGUCACCACACUACGCCACAAUGAAGAACAAGUUCCCUUCGACACCAGCCAGUGUAGAUUAUGGGUGUCACCAACCUUAUACUUACACAUUAACACUUUAGCCUACAAGCUGACCCGAUCAUGUAAUAAUCUCCACCCCACCUUUGCUAGUAGUACCUUGUUCAUAGCAUGACCACGCUUGAUGCCCAAACCCCCUUCCCUCUUUUGGGUACAUACUCGUUCCUAUGCAAUCAGAUGAUGCUUGCGUUUCUACAUAGUUCUCCCCCAGAGGAAAGUUCGUGACGCUUUCUCCAGAUCAUCAAGCAAAACUUUAGGCAAAAAGAUCACGCUCAUGGUGUGAAUUGGUAUAGCUGCUAGAACCGCUUUCGUGAGAUUCGUACGCCUCGCAAAGCUCAGACACCAUUCUUUCCAUCCUGCGAGUUUAGAGGAAACUCGUUCCAACACUUCUUUCAACAUUGCUCUAUUCACCCUCUUUUGCAGAAUGGGCAUACCCCAGUAUUUACCCAAGUCUUUGGUGGACAUAAUGCAACUCUCAUCCGAUAUCAAUUUCUGCAUAUCCCUGGACAGAUUCUCAGAAAAGAAGAUUUUCGAAUUAUCCAGGCUCACUCGCUGACCAGACGCAAUACAGAAUUGCUCCAAAAUCCUUCUGAUAACUUUUAUCUGAGAGACUGAGGCUUCAGCAAAGAGGAUCAGAUCGUCGACAAACCAAAUGUGCGAGAGUGGGGACCCCCCUGGCCACUCCUUUCCAACGAUAUCUCUAUCAAUCAUUUGACACCACCUCUCCAAACACAUAAUAAAUAAGUAUGGUGACAAAGGGUCACCCUGUCUCAGACCCCUCUACGGUGUGAAGGCUUCAGUCUGCUCUCCCUUCCACAGAAUAUUCAUCUUUGAAUCCUUCACACACUUCAUGAUCCAACCAAUCCAAAUAUUUGACAAACCAACAGCAGCCAGUCUAUCCUCCAAAAAAUCCCAGCGCACUCUAUCAUAGGCCUUCUCAAGGUCAAGAUUUAAAAGCAUCCAACCUUUGUGACCCUUUUUGCGUCUCAUGGAAUAGACUGCUUCUUGCACAAUGACAAUCUUGUCCAGACUUAACCUCCCUGGAAUGAAGCUUGAUUGAGCGGGUCCUAUCAACUUCGAGAUCACCAACUUCAAGCGCAUA
Camelina sativa (false flax) is the source of this 2024-nucleotide long non-coding RNA. RefSeq lists it as uncharacterized. NCBI's taxonomy places the organism in Eukaryota, Viridiplantae, Streptophyta, Magnoliopsida, Brassicales, Brassicaceae. The record is from RefSeq and is a predicted model, not a curated record.